RNAcentral lists this ribosomal RNA (429 nucleotides) under Acidobacteriota bacterium. Its description in RNAcentral is "Acidobacteria bacterium partial 16S ribosomal RNA". It matches the Rfam family "Bacterial small subunit ribosomal RNA", at positions 355 to 776 of the family's 1533-position model. Lineage: Bacteria; Pseudomonadati; Acidobacteriota. The record is from RNAcentral.
UGGGGAAUUUUGGACAAUGGGGGAAACCCUGAUCCAGCCAUCCCGCGUGUGCGAUGAAGGCCUUCGGGUUGUAAAGCACUUUUGGCAGGAAAGAAACGUCAUGGGUUAAUACCCCGUGAAACUGACGGUACCUGCAGAAUAAGCACCGGCUAACUACGUGCCAGCAGCCGCGGUAAUACGUAGGGUGCAAGCGUUAAUCGGAAUUACUGGGCGUAAAGCGUGCGCAGGCGGUACGGAAAGAAAGAUGUGAAAUCCCAGAGCUCAACUUUGGAACUGCAUUUUUAACUACCGGGCUAGAGUGUGUCAGAGGGAGGUGGAAUUCUGCGUGUAGCAGUGAAAUGCGUAGAUAUGCGGAGGAACACCGAUGGCGAAGGCAGCCUCCUGGGAUAACAAUGACGCUCAUGCACGAAAGCGUGGGGAGCAAACAGG